GGGUUACUUCUGUUGCACCACAGUACUUUAUUUUACAACGGUUUGACACAUAUUUUGCCUUUAACAAAUAUUGCGCCCCCCU
Long non-coding RNA from Etheostoma spectabile (orangethroat darter), 82 nucleotides. RefSeq lists it as uncharacterized. NCBI's taxonomy places the organism in Eukaryota, Metazoa, Chordata, Actinopteri, Perciformes, Percidae. The record is from RefSeq and is a predicted model, not a curated record. The transcript has 3 exons.